Molecule: long non-coding RNA, 4920 nt
Filed under: Aquilegia coerulea
Lineage: Eukaryota; Viridiplantae; Streptophyta; Magnoliopsida; Ranunculales; Ranunculaceae
Description: long non-coding RNA (ACOE_LNC001280)
Source: RNAcentral
UGAGGCGCUUGCAGAACUAAGAUGUUCCAGUUCAAUCGCUGCCUUUUAUAUUGUUGAUUGAUAGCCGCCACGGAAUUUAUCUGCUGCUUCACUCCCAAAUUUCAACCUUGGUGUUGUUCCAAUUUCAAAUUGCCAGGUUAGGUUUUCAAUUAAUCUUAUUUUUCUUCUUCUUCUUCUUCUUCGUUUUCUUUGAAAUUAUUGCAAAAUUUUCUUCACAAUGGAAAUCGAAAUCAAUCAUUAUGAAGUUCUAGGGUUUAAAACAACUGGUGUUGAAGAAGGAUCAUCAAAAUUAAGCUUAGAUGAAAUCACAAAAGCAUAUAGAAGACGAAAUUUUCUGUUUCAGCAUAAGGCCUCUGCACUGUAACUCAACGACCAUUGAGAAAAUAAAACCCAUAUGCAUGUGUCCUUAUUCUUUGAGAUACAGGUUUUGUUAAUCUCAAAUACCGUUACAGCCAUUGUUUUUUAUUUAGUGUUUUUGUUAAUAGAAUUUUCAAUGUGAAUAAUAAGAUUUUAAUCACGAUGUACAAAAUUAAAUUUCUAUUUACCAAUCAUGUUAUUGGUUUUGAUCAGAUUUUAUAUAUAUUUUUUUCAUAGACCUUAUAAUUCCAUCUUCCUUCUUCGAAUAGCAGAUCAAGAAGGGCAUGGCUGCUUCCAGGAAGAAUUGGAGUUCAAGGUGUAGUAGAACGAGAAGUUCAAGCAUGGAUUCAAACAAAAUUGUCGCUUCCACAACUGAAGGUAUAUUCAAUUUUAUCGUGUUAUGAUUUCUUUGAGAUUUUAUUGUGUUAAAUUUAAGUUUUUUUCUCGAAACUCAAUUUAAGAUUUUUUACAUUUAUUUUUUCGUGCACAAACCAUGUUCGAAUCAGUUAAAUUUUUUCACGCAUUCAUGACAAAUUUUUGAAAACACUUGCAUACACUGAUCGGAAAAUUACAUGUUUGGAUGCUUCAUGGUUAAUUGUAGAAGCCAUAUAAAGAUGACACCAUACUAAUUUUAUUGGCUUGGAUGUAUUGUUGAAUUCUCUUUGAUUUAAGGAAAAAUCUCUUAUUGAUUUGUGUACUUUAUAUAUGCUCUCAUAGUUCAUAUCUAUAAUUCUUAAUCAACCUUAUGAAUUGAAUUCUAUGCAACAGAAGGGCAAUCAAUUCGUGAAUCAAUCACAAUGAGAAACCACUGUGAUAUAUGUUUCUAUAAUCUGAUACAACCGAAUACUUAAUAAUGAAGAUGAGUGAAACCAUAACUAGACCAUAAUCUGUGUAGUAUGCUCAGUCAUGUAGUUUAAUUGUGUUGUUCACUAAAACUUAAAAUUACAUUGGAACAUUGACCUUAGCUCGAGAGACUUUAUUAGUUAUAGCAAUCAACUGUAGAUCACCAGACAAUGCUACUAACUAUGUUUCUAAUGUAGCAGUAUACGUAAAUUACUAUUAACGAAUUGAAAACCAGAGGAGUAUCCAAAUCAAUCCACAGUUAACUUUGGAUUAACUUCAUAGAAAACAAAGAGUUCAGUUUAUAGAUCGACACAUACACAUAUUCUCAACUCUUACCAUCAACUCCAACUAUUUAACAUAGUGCAUUCUUUAAAUGAGUUACCUAAUGCACAGUCUGACCAACUUGAUCAACAUGUUGAAAUUAAUGAAAACACAUGCACAUUUGAUUGACUUUAAUUUCAUUGAUUAGUUAUCAUAGUUCAAACAAAGAGAUAAUUCGUUAUACAAUCAUCAUAUGAUAGAAAUUAGAAAUCUCCUCAUCGGUUUUAUUCAUCAGACUGAACAAUUUUGAUUGAUGAUUAGAGUCAAUUCAACAUUGUUGAUAAAUUUUCAAGAGGGAAUGUGUUGGAUUGAAUGAUAUAUUAUUAGAGACUAUCCAAAGGAGUACUUUGGAUUAACAUGUCUAAGAUCUUUGCUUAAUGUCAAGAACAUUGGUGGUAUUUUCUUGCAUCAUAUGAUGUUAUAUUCACUUGGUAUUUAUUGUUAAUUGGUGUUAUGCUUUUGUUUUCAUCUAGACUCACACCAUUCACUAAGAUUUUUUUUUUUUUUGUCAUGUCGGUUUUCUAUUAUAAUAUAUUAUAAGAAGUUGUUUAAGUAAUAGAAAUAGUGGGGAUCGAUUAAGCUUGGAUUAAUUUAAGAAGUUCUUGAUCAAUAGGUAUUGCUAUGGAGAAGACUAAAGUGUAUUGUAUAACACAUGGAUAACAAACUCUUUGUCAUCUUUGCAUUUUGAAGUUGGGGAUUGAUUUGGUUGACACGGUAUAUAUGGGUAUGCAAAUAAAUUGGCUAUCGAAUUUGGCGAUUAGUUUCAGUCAUUAGGAGAUAUAUUUUGUCUGAUUUUUGUAUAGCUAAAAAUACUUGAUUUUUUGUGAUCGGAAACAUUAAUCUAAUGUAUUUUGUACAUGAACUGAAUUUGUUGUUAACAGGAGGGAAUGGAAUUUGAGGGCAACUAGACCUUUGAUUAUUCUUCAGUGGUCGAGCUACUGCGUUAGCUGGGCAAACCACAAUGCAAAUUGAUUUUGUCAUACCAGUUCAUGAAAGUCUAUCCGUCAAGGAGAAAAAGUGAAUCUUGCGUGGACAAUGGUUUCCAUAUAACCAUCAGAAAGAAGGAUGAGGAAGCAGCAAGAGACAUGGAGGUCAUGGUCAAGGAAGAAGGUUGACAUUUUUGGAUUACAUUGCAUCUAAUGGACUUAGCUUUCUUUUCCACAUUGAAGACACCAUCUAAGAGUUCCAGUACUGACUUAUAGGUAUUAACUCUUUCAAGUUAUUUCUAUCCUAUAAAUGAUCUCUUAUGAUUGGUGAACUUCUACUGCAAGGCUUUAAAGAGUGUAAGUCUCUUGCUGUUCAGAUCGUGGUUCAUGCAGAAAAUGGAGGCGAUUUUGCUGAGGGGGAUGAUAGAUCUUGGUAUCACAGGUGUAGACGGGUACGCACGUUCUAGGCACCCUGAGGUAUCUCAGAUCUUGGUACACUUCCUUGGUUUUGCUUAUUCCUAUGAUCAUUUCUGUUAUUAUUUCUAUAGUCUAUAGUUACAUAAUCAAGCACAACUUAAGUAGUUUCAUUGAAGUAAUCAAGAAUAUUGAAGUAAAGUUUUGACAAACAGGUUGAAGAGGUUAAGAGACUGACUUGGCAUCCGUUGAGACGAGAAGGUUCAAUGAAUGCAAAUUACCGCUAUAUACAGAGCUCUGAUCAUUAGUUUGGAGACUCUGAUUACACCAUAUAUAGCAACACAUAUUUCAAUUUUUAUUUUGUAUUUUUGCUUUUAUUUCUAUUUUUUUGCUCUGUAAUAGUGUUGUGUUUACUAUGUCAUAGAAUUCUUAGGGAUAUUAUCUAUCACACAACCCCUACCUCUGUAGCUUUUUAUCACAUUCUCAGUAACUUAUUAAAGUCCAUGACUGUAACAUAUGGUUCACACAUCUUCCCUAGUAAACCGAGGAUUAGGAUAUUAUGCUUUAAUUGAUAUAAAAUGAAAUUCCAUUUAUCUUUAAAUGGACUUUGUGAAGAAAAUUGAAUAUUUGUCAUUCAGGAAAUGCAACAAUCUUGACUGCAACAUGAACUGAAUAUUAACGACUCUACAAUUUAUACAUUGCUAUGCAAACUUACAGAUGUUGUCGUGACUCAGAUUGCUAAUUUUGCUUCGCUCAGUGUUUGUAAAGUCGAUACUAUUCUACUGUAUAAUAAUUAUUCUAUUGUAUAAUAAGUGUGAAUUUACAACACUCGACGCAUAUCAUUCAUCAAAUUUCAUUGUUUUGCUUACACUAUAUUGAAAAUUACAUCAUCAGAAUGGUAUCUUCUAUUAAACCCCCACAUAUAGGAGAGUUUUAUGAGAUGAAAAUAUCAAGAAAGUUUAGAUUACAAAUGGCUAUUAAACCCCCACAUAUAGGAGAGUUUUAUGAGAUGAAAAUAUCAAGAAAGUUUAGAUUACAAAUGGACGUAAUGCGUAUAUGACAAUUUGACAUUUGUUUGUACAAUUUAUGUAUUGUUUAGCAUCAAACUAAAUAUUAGUAUUAUGAAAUCACAAAUCAUAAUACCUUUGAGCAAUACCAUGCAUUACAAAUGCUUUUUUCCAUUUUAUAAGAUACCACCAAUCCCGGUGUGUAACACGGGUUCAACAACUAGUAAAUACGGAGUAUAAAUUUUUUCCAGACGCAUGGGUCCACCAACUAGUUGUAUAUCUAUACUAUUUUAUAAGGGCGCCUCAUUCCCGAGGCGUCUGCGAAGCCUUAUGUGUCGCAUUUCUAACAGAACAACGUAUUUACUUGCAUAAUUCCAAAUGUACCCCUAAUAUAUUAUGAGUUGUAUACUAUAAUAAAAGGGGUAAUAAGGUAAUUUUAAAAAGUGGGAUCUACAAUAAUUUAUCAUCUAUAUAAAAAAUCUAUAGAGUUUGUUAAAAAGGAAAAAAAAAAAAAACUGCAAAAAUAAAAAAUUAAUUUUUAUAUAAUAGCUAUAAAUUAAAUAAAUAUUCAAAAAAAAAUCCAUUAUUUCUUUAAUUAUUGGCUAUUUUUUUUUGUUCGCACGCAUACGCUUGCACAUUCACAUAGUAUUGUAUAUAUGGACUUUAAGUCUUUAACCAUAUUCCAAAUGGAUCUAGUAUUUUAAAUUGUGACCCCAAAUCUCGAUUUAUUCCAUCGAAGAUAAAGGGCCUACCUGUUGAUGAGGCGCUUGCAGAACUAAGAUGUUCCAGUUCAAUCGCUACCUUUUAUAUUGUUGAUUGAUAGCCGCCACGGAAUCUUUCUGCUGCUUCACUCCCAAAUUUCAACCUUGGUGUUGUUCCAAUUUCAAAUUGCCAGGUUAGGUUUUCAAUUAAUCUUAUUUUUCUUCUUCUUCUUCGUUUUCUUUGAAAUUAUUGCAAUUUCUUCACAAUGGAAAUCGAAAUCAAUCAUUACGAAGUUCUAGGGUUUAAAACAACUGGUGUUGAAGAAGGAUCAUCAAAAUUAAGCUUAGAUG